RNAcentral lists this non-coding RNA (92 nucleotides) under uncultured Eubacterium sp. RNAcentral describes it as "THF riboswitch". It matches the Rfam family "THF (Tetrahydrofolate) riboswitch aptamer". Rfam says of the family: THF riboswitch presents a pseudoknot that joins P1-P2 and the loop of P3 and two THF binding. The record is from RNAcentral. Lineage: Bacteria; Bacillati; Bacillota; Clostridia; Eubacteriales; Eubacteriaceae.
UAGAGUAAAUAUUGUGCGUCAAGUGCCAUGGGAUGGGAUGUUGCCUGUGGACGAAAAGCAAUCCGGCUUACGAUACAAUAUUGCGUCCGCUA